AGCGUCAUUACACCACUCAAGCCUCGCUUGGUCUUGGGCGUCGCGGUCCGCCGCGCGCCCCAAUGUCUCCGGCUGAGCCGUCUGUCUCUAAGCGUUGUGAUAAACAAUCCGCUUGCGAGUAUGGGCUGGCUUGUUCGCCGUAAAACCCCCCAUUUUACAAGGUUGACCUCGGAUCAGGUAGGGAUACCCGCUGAACUUAA
RNAcentral lists this unclassified non-coding RNA (200 nucleotides) under soil metagenome. RNAcentral's name for it is "partial contains internal transcribed spacer 2 and large subunit ribosomal RNA". The record is from RNAcentral.